GAUUGAGAGUCCAGGUUUCACUUUUGCCAAAAUUUGAUUCUCUUUAAUUUUUCAGUUCAGGAUUUGGAUGGAUCAACUCUGUAGUUGCCGAAGCAACAUGCUGGAGAGACGACUUCAGCUUUCGAACACGGAGUAGCUUGUUAAGAAGAGCAAGUGCUAUUGUUUUGCUAAUAUAUAGAGAGUGUACACUCCAUUCAUCAUUUAAAGCAGCGGGAUAGUUCUGGCUUCUACUUAGAGCAUGAACCUACAUCCUUGCUUGGAUCUACCGGGAUUAAAGACUUUCAGAGCAUUUGCAGUUAUAGCCUUAUAGGUGCUGAAGUCCUUGGGCUCUGUAACUUUGCAAACAUUGCUUAUACUGGAUAGGAUUCAUCAAGGUCACCAAGAGUGUGGAUAUUGCCACUUAAAGUCGCUAAUUUCUGUUGUGAUCUUGUUGAAAUGGCAUAUACAUUAGGGAAUUGAAGAAGAAACUAAGGCCAUGGUGGCAGAAAUUGAGGAUGAGGCUAAUGAUGAAGGUUAGAUGUUCACUCAACCCAGAAAACUGAGUGAUCGAGUUCCACAGCCUUCUGCUAAUGAAGCAGCUGCCGGCUUUGAUAAUGGAUGUCUUAUGACUUAGGUACAUGUAAGAUAUGACAACGAAGACUAAAUGAUUUAAACCUUCUAAUUUCUUUUGCUAUAUGGAGAAAGGAACAUGUCUGCUAUAGU
Solanum tuberosum (potato) is the source of this 702-nucleotide long non-coding RNA. RefSeq lists it as uncharacterized. Lineage: Eukaryota; Viridiplantae; Streptophyta; Magnoliopsida; Solanales; Solanaceae. The transcript has 4 exons. The record is from RefSeq and is a predicted model, not a curated record.